UACGAAGGGGGCUAGCGUUGCUCGGAAUCACUGGGCGUAAAGCGCGCGUAGGCGGAUCGUUAAGUCGGGGGUGAAAUCCUGGAGCUCAACUCCAGAACUGCCUUUGAUACUGGCGAUCUUGAGUCCGGGAGAGGUGAGUGGAACUCCGAGUGUAGAGGUGAAAUUCGUAGAUAUUCGGAAGAACACCAGUGGCGAAGGCGGCUCACUGGCCCGGUACUGACGCUGAGGUGCGAAAGCGUGGGGAGCAAACAGG
RNAcentral lists this ribosomal RNA (253 nucleotides) under uncultured bacterium. RNAcentral describes it as "partial 16S ribosomal RNA". It matches the Rfam family "Bacterial small subunit ribosomal RNA", at positions 524 to 776 of the family's 1533-position model. The record is from RNAcentral.